AUCCUUUUGGGGACGUCCAAUAAAAUUGGAACGAUACAGAAAAGAUUAGCAUGGCCCCUGUGUAAAGAUGACAUAUACAAAUCAAGAAAUGAUCCAAAUUUUU
This 103-nucleotide small nuclear RNA is filed under the name Ipomoea nil (Japanese morning glory). The record is from RNAcentral. Lineage: Eukaryota; Viridiplantae; Streptophyta; Magnoliopsida; Solanales; Convolvulaceae.